GAAAUUUAGGGUAAAAUAUGCUUUUUUGAUGCUUUUUUGGUAUACCCAAUAAAAGGAAUAGUUAUUCACUCAUUCUGGAGAGAACUAGUAGCCGAUGGUCACCUAAAAUUUCUGAAUACACAAAGAAAAUAAAUUUCUGCAACUUUCUUGCUGAAAACAUCAGUUUCUAGUUAGAGUUCUAGGCUACUUUUCUCUAGUAUUCUGAUUUUGGAGAGUCUAAGUGUUUGUCCUUUGGUAUACUGGGCUGAAUUCUUGCUGGUGUUCUGGGUUUCUGCUGGUUGUCUCCUUCAUAACUUUCAAUUAGAGCUUCACCUUUGCUUCAUUUUUACCCUCAUUGCAGUAGGUAUGUAACUCCUUAUCCAAAAAUUAGUCAUGAAUGACAUUAUGGUUUGGAUUCAGAUAUGUAUGUUAUUUCUGCCUAUAAUCUCUACACUUGUCUCAAAUUCUUUUUUUGGUUUCUGUUCAAUAAAUGUGCUUCCCUAAAAUUCCAGACCUCUUUCUUGUAAACUGACUUCUUAUCAUAUUUUUUUAUAUGAACCAUGCCUUUAUAAGAUAAGUUGAUAUGGUUAUUAGGCUGGUAUUAACCACUGUUUGCCACUUUGUUGUUAUACAAUGCUAAUGGAUUCCCCAUUAUAAUGAAACUUGCAUUUUAUUUUCUGGUUAUAUGUGACUGACAACAAUAGAAGAAAAUCUUAGAGCUGGA
RNAcentral lists this long non-coding RNA (703 nucleotides) under Nicotiana tabacum (common tobacco). RNAcentral's name for it is "long non-coding RNA (NTAB_LNC003323)". Lineage: Eukaryota; Viridiplantae; Streptophyta; Magnoliopsida; Solanales; Solanaceae. The record is from RNAcentral.